RNAcentral lists this ribosomal RNA (468 nucleotides) under uncultured bacterium. Its description in RNAcentral is "partial 16S ribosomal RNA". It matches the Rfam family "Bacterial small subunit ribosomal RNA", at positions 28 to 507 of the family's 1533-position model. The record is from RNAcentral.
GAUGAACGCUGGCGGCGUGCUUAACACAUGCAAGUCGAACGGUGAAGGCGGAGCUUGCUCUGCUGGAUCAGUGGCGAACGGGUGAGUAACACGUGAGCAAUCUGCCCCUGACUCUGGGAUAAGCGCUGGAAACGGCGUCUAAUACUGGAUACGAGCUGCGAAGGCAUGUUCAGCAGCUGGAAAGAACUUCGGUCAGGGAUGGGCUCGCGGCCUAUCAGCUUGUUGGUGGGGUAACGGCUCACCAAGGCGUCGACGGGUAGCCGGCCUGAGAGGGUGACCGGCCACACUGGGACUGAGACACGGCCCAGACUCCUACGGGAGGCAGCAGUGGGGAAUAUUGCACAAUGGGCGAAAGCCUGAUGCAGCAACGCCGCGUGAGGGACGACGGCCUUCGGGUUGUAAACCUCUUUUAGCGGGGAAGAAGCGAAAGUGACGGUACCUGGAGAAAAAGCGCCGGCUAACUACGUG